GAUGAAGAACGCAGCGAAAUGCGAUAACUAGUGUGAAUUGCAGAAUUCCGUGAAUCAUCGAGUCUUUGAACGCACAUUGCGCCCCCUGGUAUUCCGGGGGGCAUGCCUGUCCGAGCGUCAUUGCUGCCCAUCAAGCACGGCUUGUGUGUUGGGUCGUCGUCCCCCCCUCCGGGGGGGACGGGCCCUAAAGGCAGCGGCGGCACCGCGUCCGAUCCUCGAGCGUAUGGGGCUUUGUCACCCGCUCUGUAGGCCCGGCCGGCGCUUGCCGAACGCAAAACAACCAUUCUUUCCAGGUUGACCUCGGAUCAGGUAGGGACACCCGCUGAACUUAAGCAUAUCAAUAAGCGGAGGA
Molecule: unclassified non-coding RNA, 352 nt
Filed under: soil metagenome
Description: partial contains 5.8S ribosomal RNA, internal transcribed spacer 2, and large subunit ribosomal RNA
Rfam family: 5.8S ribosomal RNA (bases 1-120)
Source: RNAcentral